GACGAACGCUGGCGGCGUGCUUAACACAUGCAAGUCGAACGAUGAGGCCGGAGCUUGCUCUGGUGAAUUAGUGGCGAACGGGUGAGUAACACGUGAGUAACCUGCCCUUGACUCUGGGAUAACUGCGGGAAACUGUAGCUAAUACCGGAUACGACCCUCGGAGGCAUCUCCUGGGGGUGGAAAGAAUUUCGGUCAAGGAUGGACUCGCGGCCUAUCAGCUAGUUGGUGAGGUAAAGGCUCACCAAGGCGACGACGGGUAGCCGGCCUGAGAGGCUGACCGGCCACACUGGGACUGAGACACGGCCCAGACUCCUACGGGAGGCAGCAGUGGGGAAUAUUGCACAAUGGGCGCAAGCCUGAUGCAGCAACGCCGCGUGAGGGAUGACGGCCUUCGGGUUGUAAACCUCUUUUAGCAGGGAAGAAGCGAAAGUGACGGUACCUGCAGAAAAAGCACCGGCUAACUACGUGCCAGCCGCCGCAGUAA
This 484-nucleotide ribosomal RNA is filed under the name uncultured bacterium. RNAcentral's name for it is "partial 16S ribosomal RNA". It matches the Rfam family "Bacterial small subunit ribosomal RNA", at positions 28 to 523 of the family's 1533-position model. The record is from RNAcentral.